AAAAAUAAUGGAAGUAAAUUUUAAAACGAAAUGGUAUCUGUCAACAAUAAUAUUGAUCCAAACCGCUGGAGUGCUCAAUAGUCUAGAACUUAAAAGGGGCAAUUCUACAUGUAAAUAUAACUUCUAUUUCGAUAACCUAUCGAUGGACUGUAUGGAGUGUCCAUGGGGAAGUUUUGGGGUGAAUUGUUCACAAGAGUGUAUUUUGGGUUUCUAUGGCCGUCUUCGUCAGGUUGCUUGCGAAUGCAAAUCACAACAUUGUAAUCCUGUAAAUGGAUGCCAGAUAAAUGUUACUCAGAAAGGUGUAUUUCUC
Saccostrea cuccullata (small rock oyster) is the source of this 310-nucleotide long non-coding RNA. RefSeq lists it as uncharacterized. Lineage: Eukaryota; Metazoa; Mollusca; Bivalvia; Ostreida; Ostreidae. The record is from RefSeq and is a predicted model, not a curated record. The transcript has 3 exons.